GAUGAACGCUGGCGGCGUGCCUAAUACAUGCAAGUCGAGCGAACAGACGAGUAUCUUGUUCCUCUGACGUUAGCGGCGUACGGGUGAGUAACACGUGGAUAACCUACCUAUAAGACUGGGAUAACUUCGGGAAACCGGAGCUAAUACCGGAUAAUAUAUUGCACCGCAUGGUUCAAUAGUGAAAUACGGUUUUGCUGUCACUUAUAGAUGGAUCCGCGCCGCAUUAGCUAGUUGGUAAGGUAACGGCUUACCAAGGCAACGAUGCGUAGCCUACCUGAGAGGGUGAUCGGCCACACUGGAACUGAGACACGGUCCAGACUCCUACGGGAGGCAGCAGUAGGGAAUCUUCCGCAAUGGGCGAAAGCCUGACGGAGCAACGCCGCGUGAGUGAUGAAGGUCUUCGGAUCGUAAAACUCUGUUAUUAGGGAAGAACAAAUGUGUAAGUAACUAUGCACGUCUUGACGGUACCUAAUCAGAAAGCCACGGCUAACUACGUG
Molecule: ribosomal RNA, 497 nt
Filed under: uncultured bacterium
Lineage: Bacteria
Description: partial 16S ribosomal RNA
Rfam family: Bacterial small subunit ribosomal RNA
Source: RNAcentral